CGGGUGGAUAGUGAUACGUUACUCUAUCGCGGGCAGGCCGGGACAUCGUCCUGCUGUGUACUUUUGCGUAGCGGUCCUUCUUCGUCUAGCGUCAAGCCCGCUAAGAAGGAUUCCCUUAGGUAUGAAAGCCUAUGGUGCAGACCCUUCCUAGGGUAUAUGGCCGUACGGGUCGCACCGUACAACCCUAUACAGCCGGCAAAAAAGACUGUGUAGGGGCGCCAUUUAGCGGCUGCCAAACUUUUACAAGUGCGCCUUUAGUGAGGUGGACACGCUUAUGACUUGAAUAUAGUGGGGUCUAGGGGUACAGGAUCUAACCUUCAACGGGUUUUAUAGAGGGUCUGUCGAGUUUAACGGCCAGCAGCCGCGGUAAUUCCAGCUCCAAUAGCGUAUAUUAAAGUUGUUGCAGUUAAAAAGCUCGUAGUUGAACCUUGGGCCUGGCUGGCCGGUCCGCCUCACCGCGUGCACUGGUCCGGCCGGGCCUUUCCUCCUGGGGAGCCGCAUGCCCUUCACUGGGUGUGUCGGGGAACCAGGACUUUUACUUUGAAAAAAUUAGAGUGUUCAAAGCAGGCCUAUGCUCGAAUACAUUAGCAUGGAAUAAUAGAAUAGGACGUGUGGUUCUAUUUUGUUGGUUUCUAGGACCGCCGUAAUGAUUAAUAGGGAUAGUCGGGGGCAUCAGUAUUCAAUUGUCAGAGGUGAAAUUCUUGGAUUUAUUGAAGACUAACUACUGCGAAAGCAUUUGCCAAGGAUGUUUUCAUUAAUCAGUGAACGAAAGUUAGGGGAUCGAAGACGAUCAGAUACCGUCGUAGUCUUAACCAUAAACUAUGCCGACUAGGGAUCGGGCGAUGUUAUCUUUUUGACUCGCUCGGCACCUUACGAGAAAUCAAAGUCUUUGGGUUCUGGGGGGAGUAUGGUCGCAAGGCUGAAACUUAAAGAAAUUGACGGAAGGGCACCACCAGGAGUGGAGCCUGCGGCUUAAUUUGACUCAACACGGGGAAACUCACCAGGUCCAGACACAAUAAGGAUUGACAGAUUGAGAGCUCUUUCUUGAUUUUGUGGGUGGUGGUGCAUGGCCGUUCUUAGUUGGUGGAGUGAUUUGUCUGCUUAAUUGCGAUAACG
RNAcentral lists this ribosomal RNA (1116 nucleotides) under Oidiodendron maius Zn. RNAcentral describes it as "bacterial SSU rRNA". The stretch from base 240 to 1116 matches the Rfam family "Eukaryotic small subunit ribosomal RNA", at positions 1 to 1333 of the family's 1831-position model. The record is from RNAcentral. Lineage: Eukaryota; Fungi; Ascomycota; Leotiomycetes; Myxotrichaceae.